GUCAGUGUGAAGGGAAGGCUAAGGACGCAUCGGUGCUGGAGAGUUGAGAAUAUGCCUUCCCCUCCACCCCCAACCCAGUCACCUUAUUUGAAAAAAAAUUAAAAAACACCUUUUAUUUAAAAACCUAACCCUGGAAGUUUGCUCGUCUGUAAGCAGUUGGACAAGGCUAUUUAGAAAGGCUUGGAGAGACACCCUAGGGGGAUUGAAGGUCCUCAGCCUCAGUGGUUAGACAUUAUCAAUGACACACAUCGAGUGUACUGAGCUAAAUUGCAGAGGGUCCCAGUUUCAUUCAUUCUCCCUCACAGGGAAGGCAUUCUCUUCCUCUUCCUCCAGCUGCCUGAAAAUCAUAUGCGUGGUUUUUCCUGUUUCCUGCUCUGUAGCUGACAUCAGGGGAGCAACGUGAACACAGGAAAAUGGAAAUCAACAUUUGAAACUUUUAAAUGGAAGCUUUAUUGGGGUUCCACAUAUGGAAAACUGCAAAUAGCAGAAGUAUGUGACUCAAUAAAUUAUUCUGGAGUGACCACAUCCUCUAACUGCCUCCCAGGACAAGACGGAGAAUGUGAACAAUGCUCCUGAAGGCCCCUUUCCCUCAAAGAAUCACUGCAAUUGAAGGAAAAAUGCUCCAUGUCCCCUCUGCCAGUUGGUGUUUAUCAAAGGACAACGGAGGAAGAGAGACAAAGUGCCUGGAUGUGUGUGUUAAUCAAGAGUUGUCAGGACCCUGCCUCUAAAAGAAAGCGCUAAAAUGAUGCUUUUGACAAGACUUUUCUCAAAGUGGAUGCAGUCUAAGGGUUGGAAAACAAGGCCCAAUCAGGCUAGGUCUGACUUGUCGCCUGCUUUUGUAAAUAAAGUUUUAUUGGCUCACAGACACA
RNAcentral lists this long non-coding RNA (869 nucleotides) under Homo sapiens (human). The record is from RNAcentral. Lineage: Eukaryota; Metazoa; Chordata; Mammalia; Primates; Hominidae.